GCAGGCGGAUCGGCAGGCAUCUUGUGAAAGCCCACGGCUCAACCGUGGAAUUGCAGGGUGAACCGCCGGUCUCGAGGCAAGUAGGGGUCAACGGAACUAUGGGUGGAGCGGUGAAAUGUGUAGAUAUCCAUGGGAACGCCGAUGGCGAAGGCAGUUGACUGGGCUUGUCCUGACGCUCAGGCACGAAAGCGUGGGGAGCGAACGGGAUUAGAUACCCCGNGUAGUCCACGCCNGUAAACGAUGCACACUAGUGUCGGGGAGGUUCUCAUGCCGUCCCGGCCGAAGGUAACCUGUUAAGUGUGCCGCCUGGGGAGUACGGUCGCAAGGCUAAAACUCAAAGGAAUUGACGGGGGCUCACACAAGCGGUGGAGCAUGUUGCUUAAUUCGAGGCAACGCGAAGAACCUUACCAGGGUUUGACAUGCACGGAUUAGCUUCCUGAAAGGGAAGUGACGCCUUCGGGUGGAACGUGCACAGGUGCUGCAUGGCUGUCGUCAGCUCGUGCUGUGAAGUGUCGGGUUAAGUCCCUUAACGAGCGCAACCCCUAUCGCUAGUUACUAACGCGUUAUGGCGAGGACUCUAGCGAGACUGCCGGUGUCAAAUCCGGAGGAAGGUGGGGAUGACGUCAAGUCCUCAUGGCCCUUACGCCCUGGGAUGCAAACGUGCUACAAUGGCGUGUACAGAGCGAUGCGAGAUCGCGAGAUGGAGCAAAUCGCAAAAAGCACGCCCCAGUUCGGAUUGCAGGCUGAAAUUCGCCUGCAUGAAGC
This 765-nucleotide ribosomal RNA is filed under the name uncultured Planctomycetota bacterium. RNAcentral's name for it is "bacterial SSU rRNA". It matches the Rfam family "Bacterial small subunit ribosomal RNA", at positions 571 to 1326 of the family's 1533-position model. Lineage: Bacteria; Pseudomonadati; Planctomycetota. The record is from RNAcentral.